CACAUGCAGUCGAGCGGUAGCACAGAGAGCUUGCUCUCGGGUGACGAGCGGCGGACGGGUGAGUAAUGUCUGGGAAACUGCCUGAUGGAGGGGGAUAACUACUGGAAACGGUAGCUAAUACCGCAUAACGUCGCAAGACCAAAGUGGGGGACCUUCGGGCCUCAUGCCAUCAGAUGUGCCCAGAUGGGAUUAGCUGGUAGGUGGGGUAACGGCUCACCUAGGCGACGAUCCCUAGCUGGUCUGAGAGGAUGACCAGCCACACUGGAACUGAGACACGGUCCAGACUCCUACGGGAGGCAGCAGUGGGGAAUAUUGCACAAUGGGCGCAAGCCUGAUGCAGCCAUGCCGCGUGUGUGAAGAAGGCCUUCGGGUUGUAAAGCACUUUCAGCGGGGAGGAAGGCGGUGAGGUUAAUAACCUCAUCGAUUGACGUUACCCGCAGAAGAAGCACCGGCUAACUCCGUGCCAGCAGCCGCGGUAAUACGGAGGGUGCAAGCGUUAAUCGGAAUUACUGGGCGUAAAGCGCACGCAGGCGGUCUGUCAAGUCGGAUGUGAAAUCCCCGGGCUCAACCUGGGAACUGCAUUCGAAACUGGCAGGCUAGAGUCUUGUAGAGGGGGGUAGAAUUCCAGGUGUAGCGGUGAAAUGCGUAGAGAUCUGGAGGAAUACCGGUGGCGAAGGCGGCCCCCUGGACAAAGACUGACGCUCAGGUGCGAAAGCGUGGGGAGCAAACAGGAUUAGAUACCCUGGUAGUCCACGCUGUAAACGAUGUCGAUUUGGAGGUUGUGCCCUUGAGGCGUGGCUUCCGGAGCUAACGCGUUAAAUCGACCGCCUGGGGAGUACGGCCGCAAGGUUAAAACUCAAAUGAAUUGACGGGGGCCCGCACAAGCGGUGGAGCAUGUGGUUUAAUUCGAUGCAACGCGAAGAACCUUACCUGGUCUUGACAUCCACAGAACUUNNCAGAGAUGNNUUGGUGCCUUCGGGAACUGUGAGACAGGUGCUGCAUGGCUGUCGUCAGCUCGUGUUGUGAAAUGUUGGGUUAAGUCCCGCAACGAGCGCAACCCUUAUCCUUUGUUGCCAGCGGUUAGGCCGGGAACUCAAAGGAGACUGCCAGUGAUAAACUGGAGGAAGGUGGGGAUGACGUCAAGUCAUCAUGGCCCUUACGACCAGGGCUACACACGUGCUACAAUGGCAUAUACAAAGAGAAGCGACCUCGCGAGAGCAAGCGGACCUCAUAAAGUAUGUCGUAGUCCGGAUUGGAGUCUGCAACUCGACUCCAUGAAGUCGGAAUCGCUAGUAAUCGUAGAUCAGAAUGCUACGGUGAAUACGUUCCCGGGCCUUGUACACACCGCCCGUCACACCAUGGGAGUGGGUUGCAAAAGAAGUAGGUAGCUUAACCUUCGGGAGGGCGCUUACCACUUUGUGAUUCAUGACUGGGGUGAAGUCGUAACAAGA
RNAcentral lists this ribosomal RNA (1451 nucleotides) under Klebsiella variicola. RNAcentral's name for it is "bacterial SSU rRNA". It matches the Rfam family "Bacterial small subunit ribosomal RNA". The record is from RNAcentral. Lineage: Bacteria; Pseudomonadati; Pseudomonadota; Gammaproteobacteria; Enterobacterales; Enterobacteriaceae.